This 261-nucleotide ribosomal RNA is filed under the name Salmonella enterica subsp. enterica serovar Lubbock. RNAcentral's name for it is "partial 16S ribosomal RNA". It matches the Rfam family "Bacterial small subunit ribosomal RNA", at positions 997 to 1258 of the family's 1533-position model. Lineage: Bacteria; Pseudomonadati; Pseudomonadota; Gammaproteobacteria; Enterobacterales; Enterobacteriaceae. The record is from RNAcentral.
UCUGCAGGGAUGCGGAAGUGCCUUCGGGAACUGUGAGACAGGUGCUGCAUGGCUGUCGUCAGCUCGUGUUGUGAAAUGUUGGGUUAAGUCCCGCAACGAGCGCAACCCUUAUCCUUUGUUGCCAGCGGUCCGGCCGGGAACUCAAAGGAGACUGCCAGUGAUAAACUGGAGGAAGGUGGGGAUGACGUCAAGUCAUCAUGGCCCUUACGACCAGGGCUACACACGUGCUACAAUGGCGCAUACAAAGAGAAGCGACCUCGC